UUUACACAACAAUGAAAACCCAAUUGAAUCUAACAAAGGCUGAAGAUUACAGAAAUAUAUAUCAGCAACAAAAAGAGGUCAUAUGAUCCUUAUGCAUUCCACUUGUUGCAUGCUGCCCCAUGAUCAUUCAAAGUCUGUUGAAUCUGCAACAAUUUGGAAAAUGAUUUAAAUAAGUAAAAAAAAAAAUACAGGAUGCUUAAUACAAUGUGCAUGAUACAAAGAAGUACGAAAUCAAAGAUAGAUAAUCUAACCAUUUAUAUGUUCUGGAAUACUUCUUCAUACACGACAUUCCGAGUGCAAUUAGAUACUACUCCUUUGUCAUCGACUAUAAGUAUCUUCAACCCUUUUCUAGAUUUUACUCUCGACAGAGCUACAUAUAGCUGGCCAUGCGUGAACACCGGCCUAGGAAGGUAUAAUCCAACAUGCGAUAGCGAUUGGCCUUGGCUCUUAUUUAUAGUCAUAGCAAAACAAACAGUAAUAGGGAACUGUCUCCUUGAGAAUUUGAAAGGAAGGUCAAUGUCAGAAGGAGUUAAGCUAAGCCUAGGAAUAUAAACUGGUUUACCUGUUUUAGAACCGGAGAGAGUUGUUGCAACAAUGAUAUAAGGUGUCAAAUCGGUCACUAUCAAUCUAGUCCCAUUACACAAUCCAGCAGACUGAUCAAUGUUCCGAAUUAGCAUGAUAGGGGCACCAGCUUUGAGAACAAUUAUGUGGUUGGGAAUACCAGAGCACUUAACAUCAUUUAGAAAUUCUGAAGUGAACCAUUCUGCAUCUAUUUCAGAGGCUUCAUCUAACCUACAUGGAGUGUCGUAACUCAAAUAUUAUGUUUCCUCCCUAGGGAUCAUUGACAUCAUGAAGUUAUUAACCUCUUCAACACUUUCAAGAGUGGGAGCCAAGGAGUGCUCUUUGUUCAAAAUAUGCAUAGUUCUCCAAAUUAUCAACAACAUUGGGAUAUGCAAAAUUGACUAACUCAAGUAAGGGAUUAUCAGACUCCCUCACCAACAAAUCAGAGGGAAUUUCUAUAAUAGAAUCAUCCUCAUUGAUUGGCUUAAUCGUGCCAUCGCCCACUUGAAGAAGCCAAUCCGCAAAUUCUUUGAUCUCCAAGGAUGAAGAAGAGGACCCAGCUUGUUGUAAUCUCAUGUUGGUAGUUAACUUCAUUACUUUACAAUGCUUCCAUAGGUAUGAUGAAUUCACAGAAGAAGAAAUGAUUUCUGAUCUACUUCCUUUUAAAAUUAUUGGCAGAAUCUGUCGGAAGUCCCCACCCAAAACAACUACCUUUCCUCCAAAGGGUUUAUCGUGGCCAAAAGUUGCUUGGGUCUUCAUAAUGUCAUUCAAAGUUUUGCCUAGAGCUUCAAAACAGUGCUUGUUAAGCAUUGAAGCUUCAUCCCAAAUGAUAAGACUUGCUUUUUGAAGCAUCUCAGCUUUAUAAGAACCUUGACGGACAUUACAUGUUGAUGAUUCAUGGAUAAUGAUGGGAAUGAAAAAUCUAGAGUGAGCAGUUCUACCUCCAGGUAAUAGUAAUGAAGCAAUGCCACUGGACGCAACAUUUAGAACAAUUUUUCCUUCAGGACGCAGCGCAGCUGAGAGGGUAUUCCACGCAAAAGUUUUACCAGAUCCGUCAAAUCCAUAUAAGUAAGGGUGCUUACAUAUUGGUCGUGUUCCUGUUCAUAGUGUUUUUAGAUCUAAAUUGAUCAUCAAACAAUGUUAGGUUGGGUUGGAUAAGUUUUGUCUGUUCUCCAAGUAAAAACUCAAAUCGAACCAAAUCGGGUUGGGUCGAUCGGGUCUUGAAGAGAUGAAAAAUUUGAUAAUCUUUUCUAUCUCUUCCUUUAAUCUGUCAAUCGUCUUUGCUCAGUUCUGGGAACUAUUAUAACCAAAAGUCCCUCCUUUAUGAUUUAGUCGUUCUUUCUUUCUCAGACUAUUCCUCCAUUAACGUGUCCCAUUCCAACAUCAACGUCCACACCUCUCUAUGCUUUCUCUCCUUGAACUCAACUUUCACCUAUCCUUUUCUCCUCAAACUAAGAGCUUCUCGUUCUCAAUGUGCAACUUGAGAUCAUUCACAUCACCUUUGUAUCAUAACUGCAACCUCAAACUCCCUUUCAUUCAUAUCCCCCACCACGCAAGUGUUGAAGCAAGACAUCAGUUUCCUCAUUUGGGUCUUUGUGAAAAUGGAAAGCACACAAUUUCCAAGCUUUAAGGCGAGGUUUUCUAGGAAUCAAUGGAAAAACAACCAAGCCCAUGUUGUAAAGCGCAAGGAAUGUGGAUCAAGGAAUCGAUCUCAUGAUAACCAUGUCAAUUGCUUUGAGAAAUUAUGUUUUCGUGUCGAUGGUGUUUCAUGGCGAUGGUCUCCGCUCUCCCUCAACGACAAAACACAUCUUGUGAUGGUGUUCAACUGGUCAACUACGAAGGGAUGUGCGGCGAUGGUGGCGUGAAGGACAAUGGUGACAAACUUGGUAGUUUAGGGCUUCAAAGUGAACUUGAAGGAAUGAGUUGAAUUGAAAAGUGGAAACGUCAAACGUGUGUUAUACCUAUACACUAUGCCCUGAAUCCAUGAUUACUAAAUUUCAAUUAGAGUGAAUUUGUUCGGGUUUUGCAAACCAAGAACCUGAUACCUGAACCAACUUGUUAAUCUGAACCAACUCAUUCUUUUCCAAUCAGUUCGGGUUGUGUGUGUCAAUUUAGUGGGAUACACAACCAAAUGCAUAGAUAUAUUAAUGUGAGGUUGUUUUACCUUAAGUUGAGUCUUUGAUUCGAGUCACUGUGAAUGCAGUUACAUAAAAUACUUGGUGGACAGAGUUUUGUCACCCAUAGUGGUCUAACCCGUCUUAAACAAGAUUUUCUCAAUGCAUGAUACAUAUGGUUUAAACUCAAAACCAAUAAGUUGAUUAUUUACCAAUGUUACAGGGUUUCUGGAAUUUCAAUUUCCGUUUGUGGAUAUUUAGUUCGUUACUUGCUAGCUAGUAUGAACCAUGAACUUUGUUAAUCUUGAUGGUUAUAGUGUUCUCUAUAACUGGCCAUCCCUUGUAGAGAAGAUUAGAGCUAAGGACUAUUGUCCACACACAGUUUGAUGUGACCUACAAUCAACCAACUCACUGCAUAUAUAGCUUGAUCAGUCGCCACUGAUUCACCCAUAUGAUUUGACUGACUUACACAUAUGCAGAAAUUGAGUUACCUUAUAGGGUUAAGCCGACUUAUACACAUUCGAUGUCGUAUUACUACGCGUGGUUAGAUUGACAGAUACAUGGACAGUAACUAAGUUACGUCAUGUGAACGAGUCGACCUAUACACAUGUUGCGGACGACUUAAGAACAUAUUAUGGUUGCAUCAUGUCCAUUGAAACCCUUAGCUUAUGACAUCCCAUAUAAUUUACUAUUGCCUCGCAUCCACACUUAGCCAUAGCAAGGAAGGAGAAACGCUCUAGCUUUGCCAGCACCCAACCCAAUGUCGAGAUACAACUUAAACUACUAUCUUGUACUUAUAUUGCCAUUGUAACUUUAAAUACAUUUCUCCAACAUUUCCCAUACUCAAAUUCCAUAAUGUCAACGACCCACUACCCAAUAUUGAGCAUCUCGCUCGGGGAUAAGCAGAGCAUGCAAAAAAAUACAUAUCCACCAUCCAUUUGCUUGUAGGAAGGACAUUAGACCGAAGAGAUCCAGCGGCUCACUGCAAGCCCUAUUGUAUUGUACAUAGGAAUUCGUACAAAACUGAUUUAACCUAGGAUGCUCCUACAUUUGCUUAUAUGAAAGAAUGCAAGACCAUCUAAGGCACGCACACUUUCUAACUUAACCAUACUAACACUUACACAUGGUAACUUAGCGGUCAAAAUGUCUUUGUAGGUACCAUCAACGGAGGACACCACACAGAUGACAGAUGAGCAACCACCAACAUCACCACCAAAUUCGCCAUUGUAUCUAAAGAGUUACACUCACUUAAAAGCAAUUAGUUUGUCUUUGUCCGAUUAGAACCCAAUAUUAAUUUCACAUUUGAGUCAAUUUGGCAAAUUUAGUUUCUGCGUUAAAUUACAUUAGCCACAUGUGCUUUGUACACAUUAUCAUUUAAGGAUUUAAUCAAUUCUUUUACCUAUAGUUGAUGUAAUAUUUACUUGACUAUUUGAGGAUUAUAUUACCUUAAUUACAAAGCAAGAUCAGCAUCGCAAUCUCAUUACAAAUUCAAAAUCACACUCCUUUCCAAACUACAAGAAUAGUUAAAUUAUAAAGUUGUCUAAAUCACACAAGGUAAAUAUUAGAUGAAAUUACCAUAAUUUCAAGUGAUAUAAUAUUGGAAAAAAAAGUGAAAAACAGAUUAUAAAUAAGGAAAAGUGAUUAAUAAUCACCUAUUCAUUGAUUCUCAGGGCCAUACAACUUGACAGAAUCUUCAUUAACCCAGUGUAAAGUGCAAAACCCCUAUGGAGACAGAAGAGCCAUGGUAAGUCAAAAACAACUGGAGCAAACACCAGCAACAACAACAGUAUAUAACAGGGUGGUAGUGGUGGUGAGGUUUGGUGUGGGGCCCACAUUGAAGCGCGUUUGAGUGUGGAAGUGGUGGCCAUCCACGACAACAUGUUUUAAUCUCAACUUCCUUCACUCACCCACCGACUCAUUCCCAAAAUCACCCUCCAGAUCCAAUCUAAGCCCAACACGUUAAAUACACUGUCCUUUGCAAUUUAAUGAAUCAUGAAUCUUUAAUACCAGAUCUUGCAGGGAUAUUUCAGUCUUUUUAACUUCAUUCCAACAACCCCCACACUCUCUAUGCCUAUAAAUUCACACCCAAGUCCUCCAUUUCCACUCGCACCCCUUGAGCAGAGUCCCUCUAAUCAUACCAAAGCGGCUUCCCUCUGUUCAAUCAACUUGACCCUCCUCUCUCUCACACCACCAGGUACUACUUGGUUUCUGUUGGAAUAAAGUAGUUUUGUUCACACACAAAACACACUUAAUAAGCGAGCGAUACGAUAAGUGAUGUGAUAAUAAUAGAACGCAUGAUGCGAUAUGAAUAGAAGUUUGAGAUAGAAAUAGAAAAAUAGCGGAAAUGAGAUGGUAGAGAAAAUGAAGUGAAGUGUGAAUAUGUCAAAACUCGCAAACCUUUGCUUCUGAUCUCUACUGGAUUCAUCAUUCUGCUACUUGUCUAUCUCAAUUUCUAUAGAUCUGAAUGAUUCAACUCUGAAUUCAGCACUUUUAGGUUGCUCAGUUCUGCAUUUUCCCUUGCAAAUCUCUCCAAUUGUGCUGGAUUUCACUGUUUUCUUUCAGAUCUGGAGGAAUUGUCAUUGUUUUGCUGCAUUUCUUGAUUUUUCUAAGCUAGAUUUGAACUUGGACUUGGACAUGGUUGUGAUUUGUUGAUUACACUGUUUGACCUAAUUUGAUUUUUUAUUUUUGUGCAG
RNAcentral lists this long non-coding RNA (5368 nucleotides) under Lotus japonicus. RNAcentral describes it as "long non-coding RNA (LJAP_LNC002200)". Lineage: Eukaryota; Viridiplantae; Streptophyta; Magnoliopsida; Fabales; Fabaceae. The record is from RNAcentral.